AUCUGAUACUUAGGGUUGAUACCCUCAUGCAUGGAACAUGUAUGUGCAUGGAACCUCCGUGGCAUCCACUAAUUUUUGCAACGGCUUUGUAAAAAUACUUGAAAAGCGACGAAACUAUAUAGGAUGUGGAAUUAAUGAAAGGAACUAGUUUCAAUUUUUAUAUACUAAGGUUUAAUCUGGGUUGCACUAGUUAACGGCUAAUUUAAGAAAGCUUGAAAAAUUCACUACCUGGUGGAUUGCACCAUCCGGCUCUCGUACAACUGGCCCCAGGUUUCUUGAGAGUUAGCCUGCCUCGUACCCAGGCGCUUUAAAUAAUUAUACAUGAAGUUUUCAGGCAUGCGACGCGCGAAGGGGCUGUUGCACUCUUCCCAUCAGCCCCUUCGCCCAUCUCUCCCCACUACAAUACUUCAUGUAAACUCGUCAUAUGCGCAUCACUGUUUUUUU
Non-coding RNA from Paramuricea clavata, 444 nucleotides. Lineage: Eukaryota; Metazoa; Cnidaria; Anthozoa; Malacalcyonacea; Plexauridae. The record is from the annotation of a GenBank genome assembly.